GACGAACGCUGGCGGCGUGCUUAACACAUGCAAGUCGAACGGAAAGGCCCUGCUUUUGUGGGGUGCUCGAGUGGCGAACGGGUGAGUAACACGUGAGUAACCUGCCCUUGACUUUGGGAUAACUUCAGGAAACUGGGGCUAAUACCGGAUAGGAGCUCCUGCUGCAUGGUGGGGGUUGGAAAGUUUCGGCGGUUGGGGAUGGACUCGCGGCUUAUCAGCUUGUUGGUGGGGUAGUGGCUUACCAAGGCUUUGACGGGUAGCCGGCCUGAGAGGGUGACCGGCCACAGUGGAGAUGGAGCGCGGCACGCACGCGUGCGGGGGGGAGGGGAGGGGAAUGUGGCAGGGGGGGGGGAGGCGGGCUGGGGCAGGGGCGGGGGGGCGAUGGCGGCCUUCGUGGUGUAGACCGGUUGGGCGGGGGACGAAGCGGGGGUGAGAGUAGGGGGUAAAGACGCAGGGGCAAACGAGGUGCCAGCGGCGGGGAGAAUCGAGGGGCAACCGAGUGAAC
Molecule: ribosomal RNA, 505 nt
Filed under: uncultured bacterium
Lineage: Bacteria
Description: partial 16S ribosomal RNA
Rfam family: Bacterial small subunit ribosomal RNA (bases 20-332)
Source: RNAcentral